Molecule: long non-coding RNA, 504 nt
Organism: Hibiscus syriacus
Lineage: Eukaryota; Viridiplantae; Streptophyta; Magnoliopsida; Malvales; Malvaceae
Exons: 5
Source: RefSeq, a predicted model, not a curated record
UCAAUUGUUAGUUUCAAAGAUAAAAUUCUUUUCAGGCCAUACUGAUGGAACUAUAAAGGUCUGGGCUGGUACAGGCAGCAGUCUUCAUCUUUUCCAAGAAAUUCAAGAACAUACCAAGGCUAUUACAAGCUUGUAUAUUCUACAAUCUGGGGAGAGAUUAUAUAGUGGUUCACUUGAUAAAACUACAAGGGUCUGUUCAAUUGGCAAUGAACUAAUACAUUGUGUACAAGUGCAUGAUAUGAAGGGUCAGGUUCAUAAUUUAGUUGUUGCCAAUAGUAUUUCUUGCUUCAUUCCCCAAGAGCCGGUGUCAAGGUUCAUGCAUGGAAUGGACAAUCAAAAGUAUUGAAUCAAAAUAAGUACAUCAAGUGCUUGGCUCUCGACCAUGGAAGAUUAUAUUGUGGAUGUCAUGAUAGCAGUAUACAGGAACUUGAUUUGGCAUCAGGAACACUCAGCAGCAUUCAAAGUGGUUCAGAAAAUUGCUGGGCGAAGCACAUCCGAUCCAUG